Long non-coding RNA from Peromyscus eremicus (cactus mouse), 1452 nucleotides. RefSeq lists it as uncharacterized. Lineage: Eukaryota; Metazoa; Chordata; Mammalia; Rodentia; Cricetidae. The record is from RefSeq and is a predicted model, not a curated record. The transcript is spliced from 3 exons.
UCUGCAAAGCUCUUCCCAGCCCUCAGGAUGAAUCAUCUUCCUGGAGUUUGCAUUUCAAAGAGAUGACGUUCUGGUCCCAGAGAAGCCAGGAACAAAAAUCCUCUGUGUCUUACAGGUGGAGAAGGAAGAGGGGAAGCAGAGCAAGGAAGCAGGGCUUGAAGAGAGUCACUCACUGUAGACACCAAAUCUGAAGGGUCCUGAGAGUCAGGAUCAACGGCGGAAUACUUUGGAGGCCUAAAUAAGGAUGAACACGUGGCAAAGAUAGAAAUGAAGAAUACCGUCACUUCGUUUUAUUACAUUGCGCUAUCAUGCAAUGGCAGUCCAAGGUUCCUCGGGCAUGGUGUCCCUUGAUGGGUCCUCCGGGAAAUAUUUAAUGCAACUCCAGGUGGUACACACAUGUAACUCCAGCAGCAUCAAGGCCAACCUUGGCUGCAUAUUGAAUUCAAAGCUAGCCGAUGCUAUAAGAGACCUUGUUUGCUUGGUUUUGGGGCAAAGUCUCAUGUAGGCCUGGGUAACCUUGAGCUUCUGAUGCCUCCAUCUCCCCAGUGCUGGGCUUACAGUGGGCUACGUUGGCUCUGUUGCUUUGACCCGACGGCAAGACAGAGCAUCAAGAUGGGACCAUGUGGAGAGCUAAACUACUUACCUUAUGUCCAGGGAGCCAAAGAGAAAGGAGAAAAGAAGCAGGGCCUGCCGUGCCUUCCGAGGUCAUGACUCCAGGGUCUUGGGGUACUCCUAGUCACCCGCCUCUUCAAAGUUCUACCACUUCCCAGUGGAGCCAUCCUGAGGACUGAGCCCGCAACGCAUGGACUUUUGAGAACAAUCACCAUCCAGACUCUAAGAAGGAUGUGGCUUAUCAUACUGCACUUUCUUCAGAACAUUCUACUGAGCAUGGCGAAAACUCACAGGGUCCCAAUGCUGACAGCAGUACAGUGUCUCUAUCAAAUGGAGUCAUGUGUAUGAAAGGCUGGGGUUCGGGGUAGGAUGCAUGGUCAGCCUGUGGAAGUCCCUGGAUCUAAUACUCAAGAACCCCCCGACUCCAAUACAUAUAUGGUUUACAUACAUAUGAGAGACUUAAACGUUGAAGAGCUAUUUAAGGGUUCAUUGUUACUCAUUUUCCCUGGAAACAAAUACUCUACAUGCAGUGUCAAAGUAUAGAGUAGCUACUUCCAAGUAAGCAAAUUCACAGAUUUAAAUCAACAGAAUUCAGUUCAAUGCGUUUUGGCAAUGUGGCUGUCUUUGUUCUAGCAUUAGAAUAUAAUGCUGAUCUUUCGGGCUGUUUUCAUGGAAGAUUAUCAGUCAUCCUCCGGCCAACUAUCUGUGCUGUCUGUGAGUACGUCUUAUAAAAUUUAGCUUAUCUAAGAGAAUGCAAAUCAUAUGAAGUAUUCCUUCUUAGGUCUACUAUGAAUUGAAGUAGGACAAUGCUGCAAAAUAAGAAUUUAUUUAUAUAAUGUA